GAAGGGGGGCAAGUGUUCUUCGGAAUGACUAGGCAUAAAGGGCACGUAGGCGGUGAAUCGGGUUGAAAGUGAAAGUUGCCAAAAAAGUGGCGGAAUGCUCUCAAAACCAAUUCACUUGAGUGAGACAGAGGAGAGUGGAAUUCAUGUGUAGGGGUGAAAUCCGUAGAUCUAUGAAGGAACGCCAAAAGCGAAGGCAGCUCUCUGGGUCCCUACCGACACUGGGGUGCGAAAGCAUGGGGAGCGAACAGG
Molecule: ribosomal RNA, 249 nt
Filed under: uncultured bacterium
Lineage: Bacteria
Description: partial 16S ribosomal RNA
Rfam family: Bacterial small subunit ribosomal RNA
Source: RNAcentral